This is a non-coding RNA of Paramuricea clavata, 1240 nucleotides long. Lineage: Eukaryota; Metazoa; Cnidaria; Anthozoa; Malacalcyonacea; Plexauridae. The record is from the annotation of a GenBank genome assembly.
CGAUAUUUUGGCUUUUUUUAAAUUGGCCAGAUAGUGCAUUGCACUAUAAGAAAAUGUUUUCUGAAAUAAAAAAUGGGGGUAACCGACCUUUUUUUAAAGUAAAAUGCGUUCAAAGCCAAAAUAUCGGCCAUAGCAACAGUGGUGACGUCACUUUUCUGACCAAUUUUCGACUGUUUGAUUGUCGCUGUAUAUAUAAUAUACAAAUUUCGAUUUGUAAAGAGCAUCAUCUCUUCAAAAAGGUGAUCUAGUUUACGUAUUUUCAACAUUUCUAUAAACUGUAGCGAGCCACCUUAAUAAACAUUUUCAUUCUUUACGUUUCGACUAUUAAUUUAAGUCAUCUGCAGAAGAAUGCAACGUAUUUGAAACUAAUUUUCCGUUAGUUUAAUCCCCGAGCCAACGGCGCUGAGCGCCGUUCCGGGCAUAUGAUGCAUGAUUUAGGGUGUAUUAUCAAGUAUAUACUCGGGUAACAGUGUUACAAGUGUUACAUUAUCUUUAUUUAGGGGUAGGGUUAGGGUCAGUGUGUGUAACACUAUGUAACACGGUGGGGUUAGGGGUAGUGUGUGUAACACACUAACACUAGUUAUGUAACACUAUGUAACACGGUGGGGUUAGGGUCGGUUAGCGGUGGGUUAGGGGUACGGUUAGUGUGUGUAACGCUAUGUAACACUAUUUAACACUAUAUGUAACACUGUCAACACUCUGUAGAACUAUGCAGCACUAUGUAACACUGUGUAACACUAUGUAAGAAUAUGUAACAUUCGUUAAAAGGUUUGAAUCCAGGUUCAUUCAUUUUUUGUUUGUUUUACGCGAAGACAAUCACGCAAUCGUGCAGCUGACGCAAGAUAAACAUCAACGGAUAAAAUGAACAAACGUUCAAGUCUUCGAAAAUGGUUUUCGUAUAGGAAACCGAAACGUCAGACAAAACUUAAUUAUUUAAUUUUGUAAUAAUCUAGAAGAACAAUAAAACAAACAAAAAAUAUGUAACAUUGUUUAACACUGUGUAACACUUGUAACAGUGUUACAACUGAUCGAGUGCCAUAAUAAAGCCACCCUAAAUCGUGCAUGGUAUAGUUCCCGGUGUAAGCCCGGGGCACGUAGAAGGGACACUCCUUUGAUGUUAGGCGGUCGCGCCGACAUAUACCUGCAUACACCCGCGAGCGAGCGGCGGCCAUGUUCUUAGGUAGUAUCAUAGGUAGCCCAACAAUCAGUGUUAUUAAUUCAUUUCUGUUCAAUAAAAUCA